RNAcentral lists this long non-coding RNA (5886 nucleotides) under Sus scrofa (pig). RNAcentral describes it as "lncRNA (ENSSSCG00035047025.1)". The record is from RNAcentral. Lineage: Eukaryota; Metazoa; Chordata; Mammalia; Artiodactyla; Suidae.
GUUGUUGUUGUUGCUAUCUCUUGGGCCGCUUCCGCGGCAUAUGGAGGUUCCCAGGCUAGGGGUUGAAUCGGAGCUGUAGCCACCGGCCUAUGCCAGAGCCACAGCAAUGCGGGAUCCGAGCCGCGUCUGCAACCUACACCACAGCUCACGGCAACGCCGGAUCGUUAACCCACUGAGCAAGGGCAGGGACCGAACCCGCGACCUCAUGGUUCCUAGUCGGAUUCGUUAACCACUGCGCCACGACGGGAACUCCCUCAACUGUUUUAUUAUUAUUAUUAUUAUCAUUUGCUUUUUAGGGCCGCACCCACAGCAUAUGGAGGUUCCCUGGCUAGGGGUUGAAUCGGAGCCACAGCCGCUGGCCUAUACCACAGCCACAGCAAUGCAAGAUCCCAGUCACAUCUGGGACCUACACCACAGCUCACAGCAAAGCUGGAUCCCUGACCCACUGAGCAAGGCCAGGGAUUGAACCCACGUCCUCAUGGAUCCUAGUCAGGUUCAUUAUGCGAAGCCAUGACAGAAACACCUUCGCCUGCAUUUCUUCUGUGAGCUAUUCUCCACUAAGUAGCCUUAAAACCCCUCUCCUUUUUCACACAUGCUAGAAUAUGGUAUGGCUUACUCCCUCACCUUGAAGUCUUUGCUCAAUCUUCAUCUCUUCUUUGAGACCCAUCACAAUCCAACCCUGGUGUGCCCUGUUUUCCUUCCAUUGCUUGAUUAUUUUCCCUUAUUAUGUAUCAAUUUCUAAAACAGUAUAUGUUUUACUUACAUGUUUUUACUGUUUCCAUCCUCUAGAACAGAGGCUAGCAAAUUAUAGCUCACAGACCAAAACUGGCCCACCAUCUGUUUUUGUAAAUAAAGAUGUAUUGGGUCACGUCCACAUCCAUCCCUAGCCCACUGUAUUGUCUAUGGCUGUUUUCACGCUACAGUGGCAGAGUUGAGUAGUUGUGACACAGAUAAUCUGAUGUGCCAAGCCUCAAAUAUCUACUAUCUAGUCCUUUACAGAAAAAGUUUUCUGACUCCUGCACUAGUCUGUAAGCCCCACCAUGGCAGGAAUUUUCACCAUCUUGCUUCCUGCUAUAUUGCCAGUACCUAGAACAAUGCCUGGUGCAUGGCAGAUAUUCAAUACUGGUUCACUGAGGAAAAUACAAAAUAGAAAUUCCCUGAAAAAUACUUUGGCUAAACUUAAAAUUUCAAAGUUUAUCUGGUUUUUGAUUCUUUAUACCAAUACCUAGUAUUUUUAUGGUUAGGCAAAUAUCACCUUUUGUAUUUUUACUGCACUAAAAGAAAAAAAAAAAGAAUUCUCUCCCAUUCACUUAGAAAUAUAAUUGUCUUACACUUGUCAGUUUCUUCUGAGAGUAAGCCUCCAAUUAUCUUUCCUUGGUAUAGAAACCUAGCUUAUGCUAAAGCCAACAGACUGGAGCUGAGGCAAAAGAGAACAGUCAAGGAUAUGAUCAGGGUUUGGUAGCAAAUGGAAGGGUAGAUAUACCAUGAACUGAGAUAGGAGACUGUCCACUGGGGUGGGAGAAAAUAAAGCCAUGGCAAUGGAUGAGAAAACUCAGUGACUAGUAUAGAUAGAGAGCAGAAGAGAGACCAGAAAAAGCUAAAACCUAAGUAGAAGGAAAGGACCAAAUGCUAAUGAGUUCAUGCUCUAGAACUCCAGCAAGGGACAGAUACUAAAAGUACCAAGUAGUAGAAAGGAGGAUGCAAAUGAGGCCCAAGACAGGAAGACUGACUGAGAGUCUGCAUUAAAAAAGUCAAACUUUCAGUUUCCUCUCCUCCCUCCCUCAGCCCAGUGAGUGCCUUCACUCUUGGCAGAAGAAUGGAGGUGUCUCCAAAGGAUGAAGCAGACUCUGGACUUGGGGAUACAAGGGAUACAAGAGAUACAAGGUCCGAGGGAGAAUGGGAGUGCUACACCCAGAGAGAAUAAUUACGUAAAAGCCUAGAUGCUGAACACUGAAACCUCCUGCUUCAUCCCCUAAUCAGCCAUCAGUGAGGUUUAUAUACUUAAGAAAAAUACUGGAGGAUUACUCUCAGGAGAAAAUGAAAAGUGUAAGACAGAAAAUUCAAAAAACACCCAAAGAUACCCACACUUGGGGAUUUUCUCCAAAAUCCCAACCCUGCAGGAGCAGUGUGAAAUGAAGCCACCAGCCAACAAAGCUCAACUCAAGCACACAGAACUUCUGAUUUGCUCUUUAGUGGCUCACUUUUAAAUAUCAACUCUGCCGAAGAUCAUCACAAAAGCCACUAAAAUGACAAACAAGCAAAAAUGAAAAAAAGAAUCUGGAUGAAAUAGAGAAAAAGCAGGGAGAUUAAAACUUUCAAAAUAUCACUAUUAGUAAGCUAAAAGAAAAAGUAAAUACAGAGCAGCUAUGAAACAAGAAGGAAGGCAUAUAAAGAGGUAUAUCAGAGAACCAAAAAAGAGCUCUUGGAAAACGUAAAUAUGCUAAUUCAAGAGAAGAGUUGAAAAAAUAAAUUUGAAGACCUUUCCCAGGAAGGGGAAUAAAAAAGACAAAGCGAUGGAAAGCAGUGGGAAAAUGGCAGAGAACUAGUCCACAAAGUUUAAAUUAACAUAGAAUGUGGAAGGGAAAAAGGAGGAAAUUAGUAAAGAACUAGUCCAAGAAAAGUUUUCAAAACUGAAAAAUAUGCACUUCCAGACUGAGAGAGCCCGCCAUGAAUUCAGAAAAUAGGUAAAAACAAACAAAAAAAAGUCCCUCAAAAAAGCAUAUGACUGGAAUUUUAUAAACACUGGUGACAAAAGAUCAUAAGAACUGAGAGAAAAAGAGAGGGGGUAUCAUAUACAAAUGUCAAGAAAUGGGACACAUUAGGCAUCGUAACGGCUACAAAACAAUGACUACAUGCAGAGUGAAAAUGACUCUGAACACAGAACUCGCAACUCUGCCAAAUUUUUAUUCUAAAGAUUAAAAUGAAGACUUUCAAGACAAAUUGUUUAAUAAAUAAAUAUUACCAUAUUAUACUCUAUAGCUAGUCUGUGAAUAACAUCUGAUUAUACACAGGGUCAACACUUACUACUGAUGCAGCCUAACUGUAUUGGGACAGUGUGCAAGAAGCAGCUGGAGUGUGUGCCUGUAGAUGUGUGUAGCUGGAGGGGAGUUUAAAAUGAUGACCAGUACUUUUGAAAUCCUGGUCUAUUCAUAGUGAAUAUUUUUUCUUCCUCAGUCCACUUCUCUGCUUCUCAUGAAAAAUCCCUCCAUCUAUUCAGAGAAAGUCAAGUAGAGCAAUGACUGCCAAAGACGAGAUCCCAGCAGCCUUUGUCAAAGACCAAAUCAGAGGUGGCGGAAAAGGCUGAGGGAGAAAGGGAGAGAUGACGGACGGCUUUAAUAAAUGUGGGGGACAAACCGGAGCAUUAAAACACCCCUGAGUGAUUAAAAACUCAAAGGCUACGAAGAUUAGAACAAAUUCAUUUUAUGGAACAUGUCCCUCUGUUUGUAGAAUAUAAUAAAAAUGACAGGAAGGAAGGUAAGAAAGGAGGGAGGGAAGGAAAUUUCCCAGGCUCUUCCUGCCUAACAAAUUAUGUACUCCUAAUUUUUUGUUUGUUUUAAUAAGCUGCUUUAUGCUCUUAAAUCACUAAGCACCUAACUCGCUUGAAAUUAUGUAUACAUACAUAAUAUAUACAUGUAUUGUAAACAUGUCUCUCCCCCAUCAAAAGCUUAGUAUGGCCUUGAUUGUAGAUUUUUUUUAUAGUCUUCUGCAUACAACAGGGCCUAAUAUACGUGUGCUACUAAUAAUGUCUUUCUAUUUCUCAUCCAUCUUUCUUACUCCAGUAAAGGAAACUGUGGCAAAGAUCUCCAUAAUCCUGCCUUACAAAAUUGGAAACAAAAGGUCUUUGUUUAUUUUUAGAGAACAUAAAUUGUAUUUUUAAGGACCUAAAAUUAAAAUGAAGGAGACAACUAACUACAUAAUUAUCUCUGCUAAGAACACUGACAUUUACAAAAAGUAGCAAGGUUGCCCAUUCAUUCACAUUUAAUUGAUAUAAUAACCACAAACAUUAUUUUACAUAUAUAUAAAACAACUAGCUUGAAAUUCAUUUCCAUUCAGGACAAGGGAUAAAAUGGCAUCGAGUACAAAAUAAGAAACCUCAGCAUCACUAGCCUGCCGCUGUCAAGUAAGGCUUGUUAAAAUGCAAAUGUUUAGUGGACUAGCGGUACAAAGCACAAUGCAUGGAAACUUGUGUCCAUCAGAUCUAUAUUGUUCCAUACCUCAACACUCUAAGGAAAAACCCAGCAACUCAUCUCCGAACACUCUGAAGUAAACGCAGAAGAUACAAAGACAUGCAUUUAUAAAAUCUAGUAAGACUGAACUGCAACUGGAAGAUCCAAUCUCUUUGCCAUAAAAAUACACAAGAUAUCUUGGCAAGAACUUGAAAUUAGGUUACAAUGUCCAGUAUGAUCUGCUCUGUGAGCAUGUCAUGCAACAUGGCAAAAUAUGCAACUAAAUGACGUUUCUUUUAAAAAAAUGCUUCAAACUCAGGAACUGAAUUUCCCCUGCUUACACUACAGUAACAACAUAAGGAGGACACAGAAGGAAAACUGAAAGAUAACUAUUUAAAAAAUAAUGUUAUACAAAUUAUUACAAGUAAAAAUAUUUUGAAAAUAAUGGAUAAAAUACAUGAUCUGGUAACUGUGUUAUAAAAAAUAUAAAGUGCAUGAAAUAAGAGAAUCUAUCAUUAGCUUAAAAGCAAUUACUUCUACUUUUCACCAAGGCAUCCAUGCAAAUUUCUUGCAUGUUUUUAACCUUUAAAGUAAUACAGGGGAAAACAUCUAAUAAGUGAACAUAAUGCAAAAGGGUUGUUUCUUAAGCAGACUGUCUCCAUUUUGGCUACAUUUGGUCAGAAAUGCUACUAAGAAUGACCUAACUAAAUUUAAAAAAUUGGUAAUUUGAUUUAUCUGAAAAGAAAAACUUUAUCCCUAGUCUUCAUUUACUGUUUCAUAGUUCUUUCAUGGAUAACAUACUUAAAAAUGGGUAUCUUCACAUUUUUAAACUUAGGUACAAUGUAAAACAAAGUAUUUUUGUAAUUAGAAUGCAAUUCUAGAGAUAUCAAGCUUACUAGAAGUUUGAUUGUAUUUUUCUCUUUUCUAUUAGAAAAUACAUUCCAUUAAGAAUAGAAAUGCAUCUGCUGACUUGGAAGACAUUAGCUUUUUUUUCUCUAUCACCCUCUACCAAGCAGACAGCUAAGCUAUUUCCUUAAAAAUAAAAAUUCUGUAGCACAAUGUCACUCAUUUAUGACAACAAUUAGGACUGAAAUGAUAUAUAAUGAGAAUACUCAUUUGGAAAGUGGGAUUAUCUCAUAGUGAACACAAGAGGAGCCAGAAUGAACAGUUUAUAAGUUAUUAUCACAAGUUGUAAGGCACUUCCUAAUUGUAAAGAAAUUUCCUCUUAGGGAGAAACCUACCAAAUAAAGUAUGUUCACUAUAUGUCAGAUUUUUACAAAGAUAGUCAAAGGAAACAUGACACAAAUAGCUGUCUUUAGAAAAUGCCGCAGAAUACCUACUCUUAAAAUCAAUUAAUCAGGAAGAUGGUGGUGGACCCUUAAUUCAAGGAUCCCAACUAGAACUUCAGGAUUUCCUUUUUCUUAGCCCUUAAUCUUAAUUUAGCAAAUAUAAUCAGUCUCUGGAGGGGGGGGUGAUAAAAACAGGAAGUCCUAAUUGGAAUUAUAGGUCUUUACUAGUAAAUGCCUUUUUCUAACAUCUGCCAGCUUCAUUACUAUUAAAAACCUUAAGAUUUGUAAAAACUCUAUCCUUUUAUUUCAAUUUCCUUUCAACCACUGUGUACUUAAUUGCUAAUUUAUUCUUCUACAUAUUCCUUUAUCUUUUGCUUGUGUAUUUAUUCCAUUUCUUCUUUGAACACAGUUUCAAGGGCACAGAUGUCCAU